This 482-nucleotide ribosomal RNA is filed under the name uncultured bacterium. RNAcentral's name for it is "partial 16S ribosomal RNA". It matches the Rfam family "Bacterial small subunit ribosomal RNA", at positions 28 to 523 of the family's 1533-position model. The record is from RNAcentral.
GACGAACGCUGGCGGCGUGCUUAACACAUGCAAGUCGAACGAUGAAGCCCAGCUUGCUGGGUGGAUUAGUGGCGAACGGGUGAGUAACACGUGGGCAACCUGCCCCAAACUCUGGGAUAACUCCUCGAAAGAGGUGCUAAUACCGAAUACGAACUAGGUAGACAUCUGCACUAGUUGGAAAGUUUUUCGGUUUGGGAUGGGCCCGCGGCCUAUCAGCUUGUUGGUGAGGUAACGGCUCACCAAGGCUACGACGGGUAACCGGCCUGAGAGGGCGACCGGUCACACUGGGACUGGGACACGGCCCAGACUCCUACGGGAGGCAGGAGUGGGGAAUAUUGCGCAAUGGGCGAAAGCCUGACGCAGCGACGCCGCGUGAGGGAUGAAGGUCUUCGGAUCGUAAACCUCUUUCAGUAGGGACGAAGCGAAAGUGACGGUACCUAAAGAAGAAGCACCGGCUAACUACGUGCCAGCAGCCGCAGUAA